Molecule: ribosomal RNA, 467 nt
Filed under: Enterococcus durans
Lineage: Bacteria; Bacillati; Bacillota; Bacilli; Lactobacillales; Enterococcaceae
Description: bacterial SSU rRNA
Rfam family: Bacterial small subunit ribosomal RNA
Source: RNAcentral
UAUGAGAGUUUGAUCCUGGCUCAGGACGAACGCUGGCGGCGUGCCUAAUACAUGCAAGUCGUACGCUUCUUUUUCCACCGGAGCUUGCUCCACCGGAAAAAGAAGAGUGGCGAACGGGUGAGUAACACGUGGGUAACCUGCCCAUCAGAAGGGGAUAACACUUGGAAACAGGUGCUAAUACCGUAUAACAAUCGAAACCGCAUGGUUUUGAUUUGAAAGGCGCUUUCGGGUGUCGCUGAUGGAUGGACCCGCGGUGCAUUAGCUAGUUGGUGAGGUAACGGCUCACCAAGGCCACGAUGCAUAGCCGACCUGAGAGGGUGAUCGGCCACAUUGGGACUGAGACACGGCCCAAACUCCUACGGGAGGCAGCAGUAGGGAAUCUUCGGCAAUGGACGAAAGUCUGACCGAGCAACGCCGCGUGAGUGAAGAAGGUUUUCGGAUCGUAAAACUCUGUUGUUAGAGAAGAA